Long non-coding RNA from Oxyura jamaicensis (ruddy duck), 213 nucleotides. RefSeq lists it as uncharacterized. The transcript has 2 exons. The record is from RefSeq and is a predicted model, not a curated record. Lineage: Eukaryota; Metazoa; Chordata; Aves; Anseriformes; Anatidae.
GGGAAAAAAAACAUAAAACCUAAGAUUUCUCAUCCCUGGGGCCUUGGGGCCAGGCAGAGGAGGAACCUGAGACUCCUAGCCAUGCGACUCCUGAGAUUCGCAGCUUACAGUUAGUUACUCAGUGUCUUCUGGUCUCACAGGAUGAGGCAGAGGUAUAAUUAAUUCCUUCUCCAUCUCUCCGGAAAGAGCUUUUCUCCUGUCUGUGACAAAGGA